GGGUCAGUAGGUUGGUCGUGCCACCGGUACGUACUGGUCUCACUGAUUCCUCCUUCCUGAAGAACCGUAAUGCCAUUAAUUUGGUGUUGCGGGGAAACAGGACUGUUACUUUGAAAAAAUUAGAGUGUUUAAAGCAAGCUAACGCUUGAAUACAUUAGCAUGGAACAAUGAAAUAGGACGAUCGAUCCUAUUUUGUUGGUUUCUAAGAUUGACGUA
RNAcentral lists this ribosomal RNA (216 nucleotides) under Glomeromycotina sp. RNAcentral describes it as "partial small subunit ribosomal RNA". The stretch from base 40 to 216 matches the Rfam family "Eukaryotic small subunit ribosomal RNA", at positions 686 to 864 of the family's 1831-position model. Lineage: Eukaryota; Fungi; Glomeromycota. The record is from RNAcentral.